UCAGCCUUAGAUAGAAAGCUUUUCUAUGAAUAAUGGGAAAUAAAGUUAAAGGAAAUGAUGCAAAUAAAGCAAGAAAAAAAUACUGAUGAUCAGAAAAAAGAAAAGUAUUUGAGGUCUGAAAGAUCCUCAAAAUAGAGAAGAGCCAAUGACUUCAUACACCGAAUCGGCUAAAUCCUGUCUCACAUUUUCACUGUAGCCAGAAGAGCCACUCUGGUCAAGUAGAAACCCUGAAGUUUGCCGUCAUUUCAUCCAGGGUCUGCAGGAUAAACUCAACUGGGAAGAGUACUCCUGUCAUGGACCCUCAGAUGAACAAGCAUUUAUAAAGGCUACUGACAAUAUUUCUUAAUCAAAAGGCUGAAAGAGAGGUUCUCAGAAGACCACGGAGAACAUAGAGGAACUUGGUAAGGCUGUGACUGUUGCCACCAUUUUCUGCACAGCAAAUAUCGUCUCCCCAUAAAGAAAUUCAGCAAAAUUUCUGGGCAAAAGAAGAAGGCGUUAACAAAACCUGGCAUGUGCAAAUAAUUGAAAAUUCAUUAUUAGAAUUGAUGGGAAAAAAUUUAUUGACCAUGGAAAGGAAGAAAAAUGAAUACAACACUGAAAUGUUAGAAGAUGAAAGCCUAAAGGAACAUAAGCUAGUAAAUGAAUAAGAGAGAAUUACAGUCAGGACUAUGUAACUAAGAAGAUGUAUGAUUCUGGACAAGACACACACAUUACUUAGGACUUUGUUUUCUCUUUCUUUCUUUUUUCUUUUUUUUUGAGACAGUGUCUUUCUCUGUUACCCAGAUGCAGUGCAGUGGCCUUACUAUAGCUUAUGGUAGUCUCGAACUCCUGGGCUCAAGUGAUCUUCCCACCUCUGCCUCCAGAGUAGCUGGGACUACGUGCAUGUGCCACCAGAUCUAGCUAAUUUUUCUUUUAUUGUUUUUGUAGAGACAGGGUCUUGCUAUGUUGCCUAGGCUGACCUUGAACUGCUGGACUAAAGCAAUCCUCCUGCCUCAGCCUCUCAAAGUAUUUGGAUUACA
Long non-coding RNA from Homo sapiens (human), 1019 nucleotides. NCBI's taxonomy places the organism in Eukaryota, Metazoa, Chordata, Mammalia, Primates, Hominidae. The record is from Ensembl.